GAGCACCCUGGCUUAGCUGUGACCUCCAGACCAGCUCCCGGAAACACCAAGGCCAGGUCCCACAGGCUGCGGCAGCCUGCCCUUCUCUGCAGUGCCAGAUCAGACCUAUUUAAGAUGAUGUCUUUGAUCACAGACAUGAAGCACUUGCGAUCUUAGCCUUUGAUGAAAUGGAGCUCCACUGUAAUUUUAUGGAAGAGAAACAGAAGCCUAAAUGAUGACUGACACUCACCAAAGAGAUCCAAACUUACUAAGAGUUUUCCCUAUUUUUGUCAGCAGGUACCUUUACACACUAGAAUGUACCAGAAGUUGAAGAGUCUAGGUAUUGUUUUAAUAUGUAACACUUAGAACACUAUUUCAAUCACUUACCUAUUAGCUAAUUGUCCAAAGAAUAAACCAUGCAGGUGAGAAGAUGAAUUUUAAAACGUCUUUCUUACAUAAUUUCACUGCUAUGGUUUAUAAAACUCCUGAUAAUUAAAUUCUAAAUUGAAAGAGAUUUUACCACUAAAAACCACCUAAACAACACAUUCAGUACAUGCAAAAUUAGCACAUUAAACAUCAAGAAAAAAAUUACAUGCCUCUAGGUUUUUAUUAAUCACAUUCCAACACCAGAGACUGAGACUGUGUCAAAUCAUACUGAAUCUUUUGCACAUGACUACCUCAUAAAUUAUUCAACUCAUUAGUGUUACUAAAAAGCAGGAAAAAUUUCAUCGCUGCACAGGCUAUUUUCCAGUUGAAAAAGGUCAGCUACAAGUUUUAAUAAUAAAAUCAUGGAGCAAACUUUCAAAAAUCAUUAUGAAAUAAAACUAUUAUCUUUUGUUUCCUUAAAA
Long non-coding RNA from Peromyscus leucopus (white-footed mouse), 827 nucleotides. RefSeq lists it as uncharacterized. The transcript has 2 exons. Lineage: Eukaryota; Metazoa; Chordata; Mammalia; Rodentia; Cricetidae. The record is from RefSeq and is a predicted model, not a curated record.